GUACGCUUUAAGCGUUCUCUGGCAGAGUGCGGAACGGACGCAGUCGUCUUUUGUGAAACGGACCACCCCAACCAUCUCAUCUUCCUCAAAACGUGCCAGCGCAUCGCUCAAGCCAGAUUUUACGCUGGCGGGUAAAUCGCACUGGGUAAUGUCACCGUUAACGAUGACCGUCACGUUCUCCCCGAGGCGCGU
This 192-nucleotide antisense RNA is filed under the name uncultured Phytobacter sp. Its description in RNAcentral is "Yersinia sRNA 251". It matches the Rfam family "Yersinia sRNA 251". From Rfam's summary of the family: Antisense to phoH gene. Trimmed on 5'end from the original size. Lineage: Bacteria; Pseudomonadati; Pseudomonadota; Gammaproteobacteria; Enterobacterales; Enterobacteriaceae. The record is from RNAcentral.